UACGAAGGGGGCUAGCGUUGUUCGGAAUCACUGGGCGUAAAGCGCACGUAGGCGGACUUUCAAGUCAGGGGUGAAAUCCCGGGGCUCAACCUCGGAAUUGCCUUUGAUACUGUAAGUCUCGAGUCCGGAAGAGGUGGGUGGAAUUCCUAGUGUAGAGGUGAAAUUCGUAGAUAUUAGGAAGAACACCAGUGGCGAAGGCGGCUCACUGGACCGGUAUUGACGCUGAGGUGCGAAAGCGUGGGGAGCAAACAGG
This 253-nucleotide ribosomal RNA is filed under the name uncultured bacterium. Its description in RNAcentral is "partial 16S ribosomal RNA". It matches the Rfam family "Bacterial small subunit ribosomal RNA", at positions 524 to 776 of the family's 1533-position model. The record is from RNAcentral.